This 484-nucleotide ribosomal RNA is filed under the name uncultured bacterium. RNAcentral's name for it is "partial 16S ribosomal RNA". It matches the Rfam family "Bacterial small subunit ribosomal RNA", at positions 30 to 507 of the family's 1533-position model. The record is from RNAcentral.
AUUGAACGCUGGCGGCAGGCCUAACACAUGCAAGUCGAGCGGAAGAAGGGAGCUUGCUCCUGGAUUCAGCGGCGGAGGGGCGGGUAAUGCAUAGGAAUAUGCCUGGUUGUGGGGGAUAACGUCCGGAAACGGGCGCUCAUACCGCAAAAGCCCAGAGGGCGAACGUGUGGAAUCUUGGGACCUUCCGCUAUCACGUGAGCGAAUGUCGCAUUGUCGGGUUGGUGGGGUAACGGCCUACCAAGGCACCAAUCCGAAAAUGGUCUGAGGGUAUGAUCAGUCACACUGGAACUUAGACACGGUCCAGACUCCUACGGGAGGCAACAGUGGGGAAUAUUGGACAAUGGGCGGAAGCCUGAUCCAGCCAUGCCGCGUGUGUGAAGAAGGGCUUCGGAGUGUAAAGCACUUUAAGUUGGGAGGAAGGGCAGUAAGGUAAUACCUUGCUUUUUUGACGUUACCAACAGAAUAAGCACCGGCUAACUUCGUG